RNAcentral lists this ribosomal RNA (233 nucleotides) under uncultured bacterium. RNAcentral's name for it is "partial 16S ribosomal RNA". It matches the Rfam family "Bacterial small subunit ribosomal RNA", at positions 103 to 334 of the family's 1533-position model. The record is from RNAcentral.
CGGGUGAGUAACGCGUGAGGAACCUGCCUCAAAGAGGGGGACAACAGUUGGAAAUGACUGCUAAUACCGCAUAAGCCCACAGGUCGGCAUCGACCAGAGGGAAAAGGAGCAAUCCGCUUUGAGAUGGCCUCGCGUCCGAUUAGCUAGUUGGUGAGGUAAUGGCCCACCAAGGCAACGAUCGGUAGCCGGACUGAGAGGUUGAACGGCCACAUUGGGACUGAGACACGGCCCAG